UGGGGAAUCUUGGACAAUGGGCGCAAGCCUGAUGACGCAACGCCGCGUGGGGGAUGAAGGUCUUCGGAUCGUAAACCCCUGUCGAAUGGGACGAAAGACUCGCGAGUGAAUACUUCGCGAGAGUGACGGUACCGUUAAAGGAAGCCACGGCUAACUCUGUGCCAGCAGCCGCGGUAAUACAGAGGUGGCAAGCGUUGUUCGGAAUUACUGGGCGUAAAGGGCGCGUAGGCGGCCCUCUAAGUCAGACGUGAAAUCCCCGGCUUAACCUGGGAACUGCGUCUGAUACUGGAGGGCUUGAGUAUGGGAGAGGGAUGUAGAAUUCCAGGUGUAGCGGUAAAAUGCGUAGAUAUCUGGAGGAAUACCGGUGGCGAAGGCGGCAUCCUGGACCAUUACUGACGCUGAGGCGCGAAAGCUAGGGGAGCAAACGGGAUUAGAUACCCAAGUAGUCCCUGAGCGGGCUGGCAAGGCGCAU
RNAcentral lists this ribosomal RNA (472 nucleotides) under uncultured bacterium. RNAcentral describes it as "bacterial SSU rRNA". It matches the Rfam family "Bacterial small subunit ribosomal RNA", at positions 355 to 825 of the family's 1533-position model. The record is from RNAcentral.